RNAcentral lists this ribosomal RNA (497 nucleotides) under uncultured bacterium. RNAcentral's name for it is "partial 16S ribosomal RNA". It matches the Rfam family "Bacterial small subunit ribosomal RNA", at positions 28 to 507 of the family's 1533-position model. The record is from RNAcentral.
GACGAACGCUGGCGGCGUGCCUAAUACAUGCAAGUAGAACGCUGAAGAGAGGAGCUUGCUCUUCUUGGAUGAGUUGCGAACGGGUGAGUAACGCGUAGGUAACCUGCCUUGUAGCGGGGGAUAACUAUUGGAAACGAUAGCUAAUACCGCAUAACAAUGGAUGACACAUGUCCUUUAUUUGAAAGGGGCAAUUGCUCCACUACAAGAUGGACCUGCGUUGUAUUAGCUAGUAGGUGAGGUAAUGGCUCACCUAGGCGACGAUACAUAGCCGACCUGAGAGGGUGAUCGGCCACACUGGGACUGAGACACGGCCCAGACUCCUACGGGAGGCAGCAGUAGGGAAUCUUCGGCAAUGGGGGCAACCCUGACCGAGCAACGCCGCGUGAGUGAAGAAGGGUUUCGGAUCGUAAAGCUCGGUUGUAAGUCAAGAACGGGUGUGAGAGUGGAAAGUUCACACUGUGACGGUAGCUUACCAGAAAGGGACGGCUAACUACGUG